Daktulosphaira vitifoliae (grape phylloxera) is the source of this 1668-nucleotide long non-coding RNA. RefSeq lists it as uncharacterized. The transcript is spliced from 2 exons. Lineage: Eukaryota; Metazoa; Arthropoda; Insecta; Hemiptera; Phylloxeridae. The record is from RefSeq and is a predicted model, not a curated record.
UUUACCUGAAACAAAAGAAGUCAACAAUUAUUUAAUAGUUAAACUUGACAAUAAUUAUCCGUAUGACAUUAAGAGAACUAAAACGUAUCAUAGGAAAAGUGGUGACCGUGUCAAAUGAACACACUACUCACUCAAAAUCGGUGUGUAACAGCUAAUGUAGUGCAUUGAGAUGGUUAAAAAAAAAAACGAGCCUAACUAACAGCAUCGCAGUUGGACUGGAGGCAUACAUAAUAUGAAUAGAAUACGAGUACAUUUACUGGCAGUGACGGCCAAGAACCUAAUUACUGUCAAGUGAGCCACGUACGAAACUCGAGGCGCGCACAAUUACUACAUGUGUGUUUAAACAAUGCCAGCGAGAUGUGCAGCAGCUCUACAUAAUGUGUACAUACGGUAGUAUUCAUUAUCAUUAUUAUUAUUUUCUCAAAAGGACCAAAAAGGAAUUCAUCCUUGACUAAAGCGUAAAGAAGUACACGUUUUGUCGAAAGGAAAACGGAAACAUAAUUACUAUGUACAAAAUGCGAUAAGUUUUGAUUUAUGUAAACAAAAAACUUAUAUCAUCUACAUAAAUAUAAUGCUAAGCUACGUUAAAAUAUUAUUAUGAAAUUAAGACGAUAUGCGUGGUGGUUUUUAUACGUAGAACAAAUAAAAUAUGCAAAAGAAUAACUGUGAGUCAAUAUUUAACACUCGCUUGAACAAACAAUGGGCAAAAUAUAAUAACAAUCGGUUAUCAGAAAUUAAUUAAAAACGUUAUCAAUUUUGAAACCGAAGAAAAACAAAAAAAAUUUACUUUACAAUGGACAGCAGCCGAUUCGAGUCGGUCGUAUCAUUAAUGUUACAAUGAAACUUGACCGAUAACGAACGGGUUCACUUACAGGCGCGCAAGGACAAAGAUUUUAAUUAGAGAGAAAUAAUAUAACGGCGUACUGAGUAAAUCGAAGUACAACAGACUGUAGUUACUAUACGGGAUUUUUUGAAAAUGUAUUGUGUUUUAAACACCGAUAUUUUGAGAUUUAACUCAAUGGGCCAAAUGGAACAUUAACGGGCGAUAAAAAAAAAAAAAAACACUACGGCGUUUACCACACAGCAUUAAAUUCUCAUUAAUACACACGCAUGGUGCAAACACGUCUGAUUAUCAAGCGCAUUGGAAUCAAUUAUUCAGACGACCUUCUUUUCCAAGAACUAUAAUUUACGCAUCGCUUUGAACGAUAUGCGUAUUCAAAUGGGUUUUUUUACAGCUGUGCAAGUCAAAACCGCCGAGAAAAUAAAAUAAAAUUAACGUUAAUAGUUUAUUUGUUCAAUGAAAUACGACCAAACCACCAACGCCGGUUGUCAUAAUUAAUUAUUUUCCAACUAGAUUCCUUGGAGCUGGGGACUCGGCAAAAGGAGAUACGAUCGAACCGUGAAAAGAAUGGGCAGGUAUAAAUCAAACGCCGACCAAAAUUAUGUACUUGGACUACGAAUUAUGUUUACAAUGAAACAGUUGACAUCUCGUUUAAUAAAUUAGAAUAUUAACAACAGCAAGUUCACAAUUUUAUUCUACAGAGUGACCGGCAGAUUCCAAAGAACAAGUUAUUGAUGAUAAAUCAGAAGCUUUUUAUUUCCAUUUAGAAUAGCAUUCACUUUUAAACACACAAAGCUAUAAAUUUGAAUAAAUUAUGUUCCUUGUUA